RNAcentral lists this transfer RNA (75 nucleotides) under bacterium. Its description in RNAcentral is "tRNA-Gly". It matches the Rfam family "tRNA". From Rfam's summary of the family: Transfer RNA (tRNA) molecules are approximately 80 nucleotides in length. RNAcentral also lists the same sequence under 1 other name. The record is from RNAcentral.
GCGGGUAUCGUAUAAUGGUUAUUAUGUUAGCCUUCCAAGCUUAAGAUAGGGGUUCGAUUCCCCUUACCCGCUCCA